Molecule: long non-coding RNA, 749 nt
Filed under: Homo sapiens (human)
Lineage: Eukaryota; Metazoa; Chordata; Mammalia; Primates; Hominidae
Description: non-protein coding lnc-PCBP3-3:8
Source: RNAcentral
AGUUUCCUAACUUUUCCAUAUAAUGUUUCACACCCAUCUUGUACCUAACCUACCCAGCCCUGGAGUCCACCAGAUGUUUGAAGGGCUCUAGUUUUUGUAGUGUGAAAAUGUUACCAAGGAACAAUAUCUGGGUACAAGGUAGGCUUAUUGCUGUCGAGUGUCUUUGCUUCUAACCCUGUUAGGGGUCAGAGCUGGGAAAUACGUGCAUGUACACAUACACACCUCUGUGUAAGCAUACAUACAUGUAAGUGUGUGUGUGUGUGUGUGUGUAUAUAUAUAUAUGCACAUAUACAUGCAUAUAUGUGCGUGUAUAAAACAGACAAGUCCCACAAUGUCCUUUCUCUUCCUGUUAUCCCCACCCCUUGUACAUGACAGUGAUGUUCUAAGGUGGUCUCUCACCAGCUCCUGGAGCCACUUCUGCACAUCUCUUCCCAGCUCUGUGUUUAGUGACAUCAUGCGCAUCCCUGGAGUCGCUCUGUACCAGGGUGGAGUGAUCGUCCUCAUUCUUCCUUUUGCUUCCUCUGCUGCCCAGUGCUGCGUCCUCGUCUGGGUUUCAUGAUGGUGGGAUGAUGACGUAGUUUACGAUAUUUUGCAGUUACACCCAGUGCAGUGAUAUUUUUAUCUGUGGCAUCCUCCUGUAGUCUCAGCAUUUUGGGAGGCUGAAGAUGAGAGGGUUGCUUGAGGCCAGGAGUUCAAGACAAACCUAGGCAACAUAGCAACCCUGUCUCUCCAAAAAAAAAAAAAAAAAA